GCCAGCGUGGCAUAGUGGUUUGAAUGUUAGACUACAACUCUGGAGCCCAAGGUUCGAGUCCCAGCUUGGCC
Phrynosoma platyrhinos (Desert horned lizard) is the source of this 71-nucleotide non-coding RNA. NCBI's taxonomy places the organism in Eukaryota, Metazoa, Chordata, Lepidosauria, Squamata, Phrynosomatidae. The record is from the annotation of a GenBank genome assembly.